This 596-nucleotide ribosomal RNA is filed under the name uncultured Pseudomonadota bacterium. Its description in RNAcentral is "bacterial SSU rRNA". It matches the Rfam family "Bacterial small subunit ribosomal RNA", at positions 49 to 690 of the family's 1533-position model. The record is from RNAcentral. Lineage: Bacteria; Pseudomonadati; Pseudomonadota.
UAACACAUGCAAGUCGAACGAAGUAGCAAUACUUAGUGGCAGACGGGUGAGUAACAUGUAGGUAUCUGCCCUUUGGCCUGGAAUAACACGAGGAAACUUGUGCUAAUACCGGAUAAGUCUUUACGGAGAAAGCUUUAUGCACCAUUGGAUGAGCCUGCACUUGAUUAGUUUGUUGGUGGGGUAAUGGCCUACCAUUACUGUGAUCAAUAGCUGAUUUGAGAGGAUGAUCAGCCACAUUGGGACUGAGACACGGCCCAAACUCCUACGGGAGGCAGCAGUGGGGAAUCUUGCACAAUGGAGGAAACUCUGAUGCAGCGAUGCCGCGUGAGUGAAGAAGGCCUUUGGGUUGUAAAGCUCUUUCGUCGGGGAAGAAAAUGACUGUACCCGAAUAAGAAGGUCCGGCUAACUUCGUGCCAGCAGCCGCGGUAAUACGAAGGGACCUAGCGUAGUUCGGAAUUACUGGGCUUAAAGAGUUCGUAGGUGGUUGAAAAAGUUAGUGGUGAAAUCCCAGAGCUUAACUCUGGAACUGCCAUUAAAACUUUUCAGCUAGAGUAUGAUAGAGGAAAGCAGAAUUUCUAGUGUAGAGGUGAAAUUCG